UACGAAGGGGGCAAGCGUUGUUCGGAAUUACUGGGCGUAAAGGGCGCGUAGGCGGCUUAUCAAGUCAGGCGUGAAAUUCCCGGGCUCAACCUGGGGGCUGCGCUUGAUACUGAUGAGCUUGAAUGCGGGAGAGGAUAGUGGAAUUCCCAGUGUAGAGGUGAAAUUCGUAGAUAUUCGGAAGAACACCAGUGGCGAAGGCGACUUACUGGACAACUGUUGACGCUGAGGUGCGAAAGCGUGGGGAGCAAACAGG
Molecule: ribosomal RNA, 253 nt
Filed under: uncultured bacterium
Lineage: Bacteria
Description: partial 16S ribosomal RNA
Rfam family: Bacterial small subunit ribosomal RNA
Source: RNAcentral